Long non-coding RNA from Oncorhynchus tshawytscha (Chinook salmon), 510 nucleotides. The record is from Ensembl. Lineage: Eukaryota; Metazoa; Chordata; Actinopteri; Salmoniformes; Salmonidae.
CAGUGGUGAACCUAUAGGCCUUCAGUGUGUGACAGGUUAGUACAGUGGUGAACCUAUAGGUCUUCAGUGUGUGACAGGUUAGUACAGUGGUGAACCUAUAGGUCUUCAGUGUGUGACAGGUUAGUACAGUGGUGAACCUAUAGGUCUUCAGUGUGUGACAGGUUAGUACAGUGGUGAACCUAUAGGUCUUCAGUGUGUGACAGGUUAGUACAGUGGUGAACCUAUAGGCCUUCAGUGUGUGACAGGUUAGUACAGUGGUGAACCUAUAGGUCUUCAGUGUGUGACAGGUUAGUACAGUGGUGAACCUAUAGGCCUUCAGUGUGUGACAGGUUAGUACAGUGGUGAACCUAUAGGCCUUCAGUGUGUGACAGGUUAGUACAGUGGUGAACCUAUAGGUCUUCAGUGUGACAGGUUAGUACAGUGGUGAACCUAUAGGUCUUCAGUGUGUGACAGGUUAGUACAGUGGUGAACCUAUAGGUCUUCAGUGUGACAGGUUAGUACAGUGGUGAA